This is a non-coding RNA of Alligator sinensis (Chinese alligator), 114 nucleotides long. The record is from Rfam. Lineage: Eukaryota; Metazoa; Chordata; Crocodylia; Alligatoridae.
GUAGGCUAUGGAGACAUCUACCCCAAAACUCUUUUAGGUAAAAUAGUAGGAGGGUUGUGCUGCAUUGCUGGAGUACUAGUGAUUGCUCUUCCAAUUCCAAUCAUUGUCAAUAAC